UACGGAGGAUGCGAGCGUUAUCCGGAUUUAUUGGGUUUAAAGGGUGCGUAGGCGGAAUAUCAAGUCAGCGGUAAAAAUUCGGGGCUCAACCCCGUCGUGCCGUUGAAACUGAUGUUCUUGAGUGGGCGAGAAGUAUGCGGAAUGCGUGGUGUAGCGGUGAAAUGCAUAGAUAUCACGCAGAACCCCGAUUGCGAAGGCAGCAUACCGGCGCCCAACUGACGCUGAAGCACGAAAGCGUGGGUAUCGAACAGG
This 252-nucleotide ribosomal RNA is filed under the name uncultured bacterium. RNAcentral describes it as "partial 16S ribosomal RNA". It matches the Rfam family "Bacterial small subunit ribosomal RNA", at positions 524 to 776 of the family's 1533-position model. The record is from RNAcentral.